AACGAACGCUGGCGGCAGGCCUAACACAUGCAAGUCGAGCGCGCCCUUCGGGGUGAGCGGCGGACGGGUGAGUAACGCGUGGGAACGUGCCCUUUUCUACGGAAUAGCCUCGGGAAACUGAGAGUAAUACCGUAUACGCCCUUUGGGGGAAAGAUUUAUCGGAAAAGGAUCGGCCCGCGUUGGAUUAGGUAGUUGGUGGGGUAAUGGCCUACCAAGCCGACGAUCCAUAGCUGGUUUGAGAGGAUGAUCAGCCACACUGGGACUGAGACACGGCCCAGACGACGAGGGGAGGCGGGAGGGGGAAAGCAGCAACGGGGGGGGCGAGGCGGCACUAGAGGGGCGGGGGGAGGGAGGAAGGCCGUAGGUGAGUAGCGUGCGGUCAGCGGGGAAGAAAGUGAGCGGAGCAGGAGGAGAGGCCCCGUCUAGCCCGGAGCGAGGAGCCGGGGUAAUGAGGGGAGGCGAACACGGAUGAAC
RNAcentral lists this ribosomal RNA (474 nucleotides) under uncultured bacterium. RNAcentral describes it as "partial 16S ribosomal RNA". The stretch from base 20 to 302 matches the Rfam family "Bacterial small subunit ribosomal RNA", at positions 47 to 358 of the family's 1533-position model. The record is from RNAcentral.